This 301-nucleotide ribosomal RNA is filed under the name uncultured bacterium. RNAcentral's name for it is "partial 16S ribosomal RNA". It matches the Rfam family "Bacterial small subunit ribosomal RNA", at positions 509 to 808 of the family's 1533-position model. The record is from RNAcentral.
CAGCAGCCGCGGGAAUACGAAGGGUGCAAGCGUUACUCGGAAUUACUGGGCGUAAAGCGCGUGUAGGUGGUUGUUUAAGUCUGUCGUGAAAGCCCUGGGCUCAACCUGGGAAUUGCGAUGGAUACUGGGCGACUAGAGUGCGGUAGAGGAUAGUGGAAUUUCCGGUGUAGCAGUGAAAUGCGUAGAUAUUCGGAAGAACACCAGUGGCGAAGGCGGCUUACUGGCUCAUACUGGACGCUGAGGUGCGAAAGCGUGGGGAGCAAACAGGAUAGAUACCCCAGUAGUCCCUGUCUCUUAUACC